Molecule: ribosomal RNA, 528 nt
Filed under: uncultured bacterium
Lineage: Bacteria
Description: bacterial SSU rRNA
Rfam family: Bacterial small subunit ribosomal RNA
Source: RNAcentral
AGAGUUUGAUCAUGGCUCAGAGUGAACGCUGGCGGCAGGCCUAACACAUGCAAGUCGAACGGCAGCACAGGGGAGCUUGCUCCUUGGGUGGCGAGUGGCGGACGGGUGAGGAAUACAUCGGAAUCUGCCUUAUCGUGGGGGAUAACGUAGGGAAACUUACGCUAAUACCGCAUACGACCUACGGGUGAAAGCGGAGGACCGCAAGGCUUCGCGCGAUAAGAUGAGCCGAUGUCGGAUUAGCUAGUUGGCGGGGUAAUGGCCCACCAAGGCGACGAUCCGUAGCUGGUCUGAGAGGAUGAUCAGCCACACUGGAACUGAGACACGGUCCAGACUCCUACGGGAGGCAGCAGUGGGGAAUAUUGGACAAUGGGCGCAGGCCUGAUCCAGCCAUGCCGCGUGUGUGAAGAAGGCCUUCGGGUUGUAAAGCACUUUUGUCCGGAAAGAAAAGCUUCGGGUUAAUACCCCGGGGUCCUGACGGUACCGGAAGAAUAAGCACCGGCUAACUUCGUGCCAGCAGCCGCGGUAAUA